This 716-nucleotide ribosomal RNA is filed under the name uncultured Campylobacterota bacterium. RNAcentral's name for it is "bacterial SSU rRNA". It matches the Rfam family "Bacterial small subunit ribosomal RNA", at positions 593 to 1309 of the family's 1533-position model. The record is from RNAcentral. Lineage: Bacteria; Pseudomonadati; Campylobacterota.
UGUGAAAUCCUAUGGCUCAACCAUAGAACUGCAUCCAAAACUGAGGGGCUAGAGUCUGGGAGGUGAAGAUGGAAUUAGUGGUGUAGGGGUAAAAUCCGUAGAGAUCACUAGGAAUACCAAAAGCGAAGGCGAUCUUCUGGAACAGUACUGACGCUGAGGCGCGAAAGCGUGGGGAGCAAACAGGAUUAGAUACCCUGGUAGUCCACGCCCUAAACUAUGAAUGUUAGUCGUCGGGAGGCUCGUCCUCUCGGUGAUGCAGCUAACGCAUUAAACAUUCCGCCUGGGGAGUACGGUCGCAAGAUUAAAACUCAAAGGAAUAGACGGGGACCCGCACAAGUGGUGGAGCAUGUGGUUUAAUUCGAAGAUACGCGAAGAACCUUACCUGGCCUUGACAUUGAUAGAAUCUGCUAGAGAUAGCGGAGUGCCCUUCGGGGAGCUUGAAAACAGGUGCUGCACGGCUGUCGUCAGCUCGUGUCGUGAGAUGUUGGGUUAAGUCCCGCAACGAGCGCAACCCUCGUCACUAGUUACUAACGGUUCGGCCGAGGACUCUAGUGAGACUGCCUUCGUAAGGAGGAGGAAGGUGAGGACGACGUCAAGUCAUCAUGGCCCUUACGGCCAGGGCGACACACGUGCUACAAUGGGAUGUACAAUGAGACGCAAUACCGCGAGGUGGAGCAAAUCUAUAAAGCAUCUCUCAGUUCGGAUUGUAGUCUGCA